This 253-nucleotide ribosomal RNA is filed under the name uncultured bacterium. RNAcentral describes it as "partial 16S ribosomal RNA". It matches the Rfam family "Bacterial small subunit ribosomal RNA", at positions 524 to 776 of the family's 1533-position model. The record is from RNAcentral.
UACGAAGGGUGCAAGCGUUAAUCGGAAUUACUGGGCGUAAAGCGUGCGUAGGUGGUUUUUUAAGUCUGCUGUGAAAGCCCUGGGCUCAACCUGGGAAUGGCGGUGGAUACUGAAAAGCUAGAGUGCGGUAGAGGAGGGUGGAAUUCCUGGUGUAGCGGUGAAAUGCGCAGAUAUCAGGAGGAACACCGAUGGCGAAGGCAGCUCGCUGGGACGGUACUGACGCUGAGGCGCGAAAGCGUGGGGAGCAAACGGG